RNAcentral lists this transfer RNA (115 nucleotides) under Lichenifustis flavocetrariae. RNAcentral's name for it is "tRNA-Ser". Lineage: Bacteria; Pseudomonadati; Pseudomonadota; Alphaproteobacteria; Hyphomicrobiales; Lichenihabitantaceae. The record is from RNAcentral.
GGGCGAUUCGGAACGAAAUAGAAAGGUUCGUGAGCGAUGAUCCCCUCUAGGACCGCCGCCGGCACCCUCGUUUACACCGAGAGGGUCGGCGGUUCGAGCCCGUCACCGCCCACCA